This 468-nucleotide ribosomal RNA is filed under the name uncultured bacterium. RNAcentral describes it as "partial 16S ribosomal RNA". It matches the Rfam family "Bacterial small subunit ribosomal RNA", at positions 28 to 507 of the family's 1533-position model. The record is from RNAcentral.
GACGAACGCUGGCGGCGUGCUUAACACAUGCAAGUCGAACGGAAAGGCCCUGCUUUUGUGGGGUGCUCGAGUGGCGAACGGGUGAGUAACACGUGAGUAACCUGCCCUUGACUUUGGGAUAACUUCAGGAAACUGGGGCUAAUACCGGAUAGGAGCUCCUGCUGCAUGGUGGGGGUUGGAAAGUUUCGGCGGUUGGGGAUGGACUCGCGGCUUAUCAGCUUGUUGGUGGGGUAGUGGCUUACCAAGGCUUUGACGGGUAGCCGGCCUGAGAGGGUGACCGGCCACAGUGGGAAUGAGAUACGGCCCAGACUCCGACGGGAGGCAGCAGUGGGGAAUAUUGCACAAUGGGCGGAAGCCUGAUGCAGCAACGCCGCGUGCGGGAUGACGGCCUUCGGGUUGUAAACCGCUUUCGGCUGUGACGAAGCGUGAGUGACGGUAAUGGGUAAAGAAGCACCGGCUAACUACGUG